AUGGUUGAACAACCGAUCAACGUGGUAAGUUGGAAUGUCCGAGGAUUGAAUUGUGCUGACCGUUGCUCUACUGUGCACGAGACAAUUGUGUCCUCCUCCUGUCAGAUUGUGUGUUUGCAAGAAACCAAGCUUGCAAGCGUUGACCUAUUCACGGCCGCGUUCCUCGGUGGAAAUAGGCUCCGUAGCUUUGCCCAGUGGCCAGCCAUUGGCACUCGAGGGGGGAUUCUUAUGCUCUGGGAUGUGCAGGUUGUCGACAUCAACGACAUCGCCUGCACCGAUUUCUGCCUUUCAGGGACGGUUUGUGUCAAGGCCUCUGGCACCCGCUUCAGAAUUACUACCAUCUACGGUCCAACGUCAUCUAGUCUCAAGGAAGCGUUCUACACCGAGCUCGUUGGACAGAUGCCACCUCCAGGUGAGAGAUGGCUUGCCUUGGGUGAUUUUAACCAAAUACGCUGGGCCCAAGAUAAAAACAAGAGGAAUGUCAAUAUGAGGCGCAUAAACCGCUUCAGGUCAAUAUUACAAAGUUGUGGCCUGAGUGAGAUUCAUUUGCAGAAUCGUCGCUUCACCUAGAGUAACGAGAGGGACAACCCAACUUUGUGCAAACUGGACGCUUUCUUCUGCAAUGCCGAGUGGGACUUGCACUUCAACACCCACAUCCUCCAUGAGCUUUCGUCAUCGCUCUCCGACCACUGUCCACUCCUGCUCGCCGAUGACAAGGGGCCGCGGAGGCCUAAGAGCUUCAAGUUCGAGAAUUUUUGGGCCUCCCUGCCAGGAUUCACAGAGGUUGUAUCUGCGUCCUGGCUUGAAAGCACGGGUCAUACUGAACUAUUCCAGGUUCUGCAUCAUAAACUAAAGAAGACCGGUAGGCGUCUUCCCUUGUGGAGUAGAGGCUUAUUCUCCAAAGCCAAGCUUCACCACCAUGCUGCUCUGCUUGUUAUCUUGCACUUGGACAUGGCCCAGGAGGCGCGCCCCCUCUCCCAUGCGGAGUUGGAUCUUCGGGUGAGGAUCAAAAGGAGGGUCAUUGCCCUCGCAGUCCUGGAAAGAGCAAGGAAAAAGCAGUGUGCGCGUCUUACCAACCUCAGAAGGGGUGAUGCCAAUACCAAGUUCUUUCACCGUAGGGUGAAUGCACGGCGGAGGAAGAACCACAUUCACCGGAUCAAGCACAACAACGGUUGGAUCACUGGGCACGAUCACAAGGAGAAUAUCAUGCAUGACCACUUUUCCGAGGUCAUGGGGUGA
This 1239-nucleotide ribosomal RNA is filed under the name Triticum aestivum (bread wheat). RNAcentral describes it as "partial small subunit ribosomal RNA". The record is from RNAcentral. Lineage: Eukaryota; Viridiplantae; Streptophyta; Magnoliopsida; Poales; Poaceae.